GGCCAUUAGCUCAGCGGUUAGAGCAGAGGACUCAUAAUCCUUUGGUCCUUGGUUCAAAUCCAAGACGGCCCA
RNAcentral lists this transfer RNA (72 nucleotides) under Treponemataceae bacterium. RNAcentral's name for it is "tRNA-Ile". It matches the Rfam family "tRNA". Rfam says of the family: Transfer RNA (tRNA) molecules are approximately 80 nucleotides in length. Their secondary structure includes four short double-helical elements and three loops (D, anti-codon, and T loops). The record is from RNAcentral. Lineage: Bacteria; Pseudomonadati; Spirochaetota; Spirochaetia; Treponematales; Treponemataceae.